Molecule: ribosomal RNA, 406 nt
Filed under: uncultured bacterium
Lineage: Bacteria
Description: bacterial SSU rRNA
Rfam family: Bacterial small subunit ribosomal RNA
Source: RNAcentral
UCAAGAAUAUUCCACAAUGGACGAAAGUCUGAUGGAGCGACGCCGCGUGCAGGAUGACGCCCUUCGGGGUGUAAACUGCUUUUGUAGGGGACGAAUUUGUGACGGUACCCUAAGAAUAAGAGGUUGCUAACUCUGUGCCAGCAGCAGCGGUAAUACAGAGACCUCAAACGUUAUCCGGAUUCAUUGGGCGUAAAGCGUCCGCAGGUGGUUUGAAAAGUCAGUGCUUAAAUCCUGGGGCUUAACUUCAGGACUGGCGCUGAUACUGUCAAACUAGAGACUGGGAGAGGCAAGCGGAACUAUCGGUGUAGUCGUAAUAAGCGCUGAUAUCGAUAGGAACACCAAAGGCGAAGGCAGCUUGCUAGAACAUGUCUGACACUCAUGGACCAAAGCGUGGGGAGCGAAUGGG